Molecule: long non-coding RNA, 535 nt
Organism: Astatotilapia calliptera (eastern happy)
Lineage: Eukaryota; Metazoa; Chordata; Actinopteri; Cichliformes; Cichlidae
Source: Ensembl
CUUUGUUUCUGUGACGGGAGAAGAGGGGGACAAAGUGCCUGUUACUAUUCUUCGGGACACAGCCGUUUUCAGGAGGCCUCGCUUACGUUGAACCUAGCCAAAUGUGAAUUUGGCAGAGCCACCAUCACAUAUCUGGGAAAACAGAUGCAGAACUCAAAUCAGAGACUUAUGCGUUGGUCCCUUCUUUUGCAAGACUUCAACCUGCAGAUCAAGCAUAAGAAAGGGACGGAAAAUGUCAUCGCGGACGCCCUGUCGAGAGCAAUUUUGUAGUUUAGGAAUUAAACAAUAGGAGGAUUGUUUAAAUCUUAUGGAAGGGGGUGUUACGAACUUGUAUGUCCGUGUGUUUGUUUGUGCAAGUGCUGUGUUUUUGUCUAUGUUAAUUUAGCUGUGCCAGGUCCCUGUUCCGAUUGGUGCGUGGACUUACUGCCCCGGUGUGAUUGGAUCCAGCUGGAGGACCCGCCCAUUAAAAGGAGGCUGGAGUGCUACAGCGGGAGAGGCCCUCGCGUUUCUCCUCAUCACCCAGCAGUAGUCCUGU